Molecule: ribosomal RNA, 254 nt
Filed under: uncultured bacterium
Lineage: Bacteria
Description: partial 16S ribosomal RNA
Rfam family: Bacterial small subunit ribosomal RNA
Source: RNAcentral
UACAGAGGUCCCGAGCGUUGUUCGGAUUCACUGGGCGUAAAGGGUGCGCAGGUGGUUUGGCAAGUUUGAUGUGAAAGCCCCGGGCUUAACCCGGGAAUGGCAUUGAAUACUGCUUGAACUGGAGGGUUGGAGGGGGGACUGGAAUUCUUGGUGUAGCAGUGAAAUGCGUAGAUAUCAAGAGGAACACCAGUGGCGAGGGCGAGUCCCUGGGCCGAUACUGACGCUGAGGAGCGAAAGCGUGGGGAGCGAACAGG